Molecule: long non-coding RNA, 244 nt
Filed under: Lathyrus oleraceus (garden pea)
Lineage: Eukaryota; Viridiplantae; Streptophyta; Magnoliopsida; Fabales; Fabaceae
Description: Pisum sativum (pea) long non-coding RNA (PSAT_LNC028717)
Source: RNAcentral
UACUUACCUAAGGUACACUAGAUCCGGGUGUAGGAUCUUUCACUCAAGCAUAAAAUACCCAAGCAAUCCCUUAAAAGUAAAUUAGACAAUUCAAAUAAGUGAUCUUGUUUUUUUAAGGCAACCUCUCUUUUUAAGUAGUCCCCAGCAGAGUCGCCAAUUCUGUCAUACGGUGAACUGACUUUGUGUGUUUUUGCUUUGGAAAACAAAUGUCGCGGAUAGCAAGAGUCGCCACCGACUUUUCUUU